Molecule: long non-coding RNA, 305 nt
Filed under: Hordeum vulgare
Lineage: Eukaryota; Viridiplantae; Streptophyta; Magnoliopsida; Poales; Poaceae
Description: long non-coding RNA (HVUL_LNC018415)
Source: RNAcentral
ACCCUUUGCAUUUCUCUUGGGAAUUGCAUGUAGAACAGUAGUGGUGCUAUGUGAGCAAAUCAUGUUCAGCCAAAGCAGCGAACCUACUAUUUUGUGUGCAAUUUGGCUUCUUCCUUGAGAUUUGCUGGGACUGGGAUCACUAACAUGUCACACCGUUCUAAAUAUUAUGUUAUGAUCCAAAUUUAAGUAUAAAGAUAAAAGUUAACUUCUGAAGAAUCGGACCGGAGCUCUGACCGGUCACUGGGACCUAUAAUAAGUUGUAAAUCCCCGAUAUUUGUAAUUUUAUCUGAUAUAGUGAAGUUCCU